UAUCAAAAAUUCAUAAGAUGGAUAAUGUCAUGAUAAAAUGCAAGGCUACUUCACAAAGAAUUAUUUCACAAUUCCCUAAAGGUAAACUCAAAAAGGAAAGCGCUCUGUCUGCUACAAAGAUCUAAAAUGAACUCUAAGUCUUUCAGAUUCAGUUGGUGUUAUUUGUGUGCUGUUUCCUCAUAAGCCUGGCAACUAUUUUGAGCCUCGAGUGUCGAGAGAUAUUCAAGUUUGGAGAUUAUACCUUCCCCAAGGAUAACAUGACUUGCAAUAAUACUGAGGAGCAGUGUGUUAUCGCCUCAUACGAUAUUCCACAGGUGCAGGGAAUAAUGUUCUCGAGAUGCCGAUUGUGCGAACCAGAAGAAAUUUGUAACAUCUUGGAGUCAGGACCACAAGAGGGUGUAACUAACUGCCAAGUGACAUGUUGCAAUACUGAUUAUUGCAAUGAUAUAGGAGCGCAGAAUAAUGGAAAUAGUGGAGCUUCCAAGGACGAAGGGAAAAAACUAAUAAAGAACAAGAAAAUUGCAGAAAAACGAAGGAAACACCACAAAGACUGAUAUAACAAACACCAGCCGACCAGGAAAAG
Molecule: RNA transcript, 583 nt
Organism: Exaiptasia diaphana
Lineage: Eukaryota; Metazoa; Cnidaria; Anthozoa; Actiniaria; Aiptasiidae
Exons: 4
Source: RefSeq, a predicted model, not a curated record